RNAcentral lists this long non-coding RNA (1063 nucleotides) under Phoenix dactylifera (date palm). RNAcentral's name for it is "long non-coding RNA (PDAC_LNC015951)". The record is from RNAcentral. Lineage: Eukaryota; Viridiplantae; Streptophyta; Magnoliopsida; Arecales; Arecaceae.
UUUUUGGAGUAGCGCUGCCUUGGAGUCGACUCGAACUGUCUUGGAGUCGACUCGCGUCUCAGAGACAACCAUACUGUCUUCUGUCUUUUUGGGGUCGCUUUGUCUCGGAGUCGACUCGGGCUUUGCGGGAGUCGACUCGGCUCUCAGUGCCCGAAAGUUGCUCUCUGACUUUUGCCUUGUAUAACACUGAGAGUCGACUCUCGCUUCCUUUGAAGUCGACCUGCCAACCAUCGGAGUCGACUCGCGUUCCUCAGGAGUCGACUCGGCUCUCAGGGUCCAAAAUGACUUCUCUGUCUUUCUGUCUGUAACUCCCUGGAGUCGUCUCAUACUACUCUGGAGUCGACUCGCGCUCUUCAGGAGUCGACUCGCUGACAGGUUGUGAGUUGGGUCUUUCUGUUCGUCUGUCUGUUCUCAGUCGGAGUCGACUCUUAAUGUUCCGGAGUCGACUCGCGCCUGUGCCAAUGCUUCCGAUACGCUUGGAGUCGACUCGUAAAAUCCCGGAGUCGACUCGAGUCUCAGACUUUGGUUCAAGUUGACUUCUUAACUUAUCCAAAAUGUCUUGAACCAAAUCUAGAGACACUUAACCAUAAAUUUACAAGAUUUUCACUGAAACACUAGAUUGAAUUCAUUAGUAAGCAAAAGAUAUACUCAAAUGCUUUGAGCUCAUCAAAAUCAAAUAGGGUUAUAAUCAAUCACUCCACAAUCUCCCCCUUUUUGAUGAUGACAAAACAUUGAGUAUAUGUAAAGUGAAUUGCUCAACAAACAAGGAGAAUUAUAGUAAAAUUUGAAAAUGAAUUCAAGUGUCUAGUUAGUUUUAAUUUAUCCAGUCUUGAAAGGUGUGAAACAAUAAAUUUCGACGUUAAGGCUCCCCCUUUCAUUUGGAAUUAUAUAAGCCUUCAUAUCAUGCAAUCAAUUGUUUGGCUUAUAUAUAUUUAAUAAUUUUGCUUUCUUAAAAAUUCAGAUUCUCCCCCUCAACACAUGCAUUCAACUUUGUUUUGAAUCUCAGAAUUUUCUUUUAGUGCAUUGAAGCUUUUGAACUUUAAAUUUUUGUUUUUUUUUUAAA